This 541-nucleotide ribosomal RNA is filed under the name uncultured Bacteroidota bacterium. RNAcentral's name for it is "bacterial SSU rRNA". It matches the Rfam family "Bacterial small subunit ribosomal RNA", at positions 173 to 715 of the family's 1533-position model. The record is from RNAcentral. Lineage: Bacteria; Pseudomonadati; Bacteroidota.
AUCAUGAGUUCACAUGUCCGCAUGAUUAAAGGUAUUUUCCGGUAGACGAUGGGGGUGCGUUCCAUUAGAUAGUAGGCGGGGUAACGGCCCACCUAGUCAACGAUGGAUAGGGGUUCUGAGAGGAAGGUCCCCCACAUUGGAACUGCGACACGGUCCAAACUCCUACGGGAGGCAGCAGUGAGGAAUAUUGGUCAAUGGGCGAUGGCCUGAACCAGCCAAGUAGCGUGAAGGAUGACUGCCCUAUGGGUUGUAAACUUCUUUUAUAAAGGAAUAAAGUCGGGUAUGCAUACCCGUUUGCAUGUACUUUAUGAAUAAGGAUCGGCUAACUCCGUGCCAGCAGCCGCGGUAAUACGGAGGAUCCGAGCGUUAUCCGGAUUUAUUGGGUUUAAAGGGAGCGUAGAUGGAUGUUUAAGUCAGUUGUGAAAGUUUGCGGCUCAACCGUAAAAUUGCAGUUGAUACUGGAUGUCUUGAGUGCAGUUGAGGCAGGCGGAAUUCGUGGUGUAGCGGUGAAAUGCUUAGAUAUCACGAAGAACUCCGAUUG